GACGAACGCCGGGCGGCGUGCUUAACACAUGCAAGUCGAACGAAAAGAGGGGAAGAGCUUGCUCUUUUCAGAAUUGAGUGGCAAACGGGUGAGUAACACGUAAACAACCUGCCUUCAGGAUGGGGACAACAGACGGAAACGACUGCUAAUACCGAAUAAGUUCCAAGAGCCGCAUGGCCCAUGGAAGAAAAGGUGGCCUCUACCUGUAAGCUAUCGCCUGAAGAGGGGUUUGCGUCUGAUUAGCUGGUUGGAGGGGUAACGGCCCACCAAGGCGACGAUCAGUAGCCGGUCUGAGAGGAUGAACGGCCACACUGGAACUGAGACACGGUCCAGACUCCUACGGGAGGCAGCAGUGGGGAAUCUUCCGCAAUGGGCGAAAGCCUGACGGAGCAACGCCGCGUGAGUGAUGACGGCCUUCGGGUUGUAAAACUCUGUGAUCCGGGACGAAAAGGCAGAGUGCGAAGAACAAACUGCAUUGACGGUACCGGAAAAGCAAGCCACGGCUAACUACGUGCCAGCAGCCGCGGUAAUACGUAGGUGGCAAGCGUUGUCCGGAAUUAUUGGGCGUAAAGCGCGCGCAGGCGGCUUCCCAAGUCCCUCUUAAAAGUGCGGGGCUUAACCCCGUGAUGGGAAGGAAACUGGGAAGCUGGAGUAUCGGAGAGGAAAGUGGAAUUCCUAGUGUAGCGGUGAAAUGCGUAGAGAUUAGGAAGAACACCGGUGGCGAAGGCGACUUUCUGGACGAAAACUGACGCUGAGGCGCGAAAGCGUGGGGAGCAAACAGG
This 782-nucleotide ribosomal RNA is filed under the name uncultured Dialister sp. Its description in RNAcentral is "bacterial SSU rRNA". It matches the Rfam family "Bacterial small subunit ribosomal RNA", at positions 28 to 776 of the family's 1533-position model. The record is from RNAcentral. Lineage: Bacteria; Bacillati; Bacillota; Negativicutes; Veillonellales; Veillonellaceae.